This 497-nucleotide ribosomal RNA is filed under the name uncultured bacterium. Its description in RNAcentral is "partial 16S ribosomal RNA". It matches the Rfam family "Bacterial small subunit ribosomal RNA", at positions 28 to 507 of the family's 1533-position model. The record is from RNAcentral.
GAUGAACGCUGGCGGCGUGCCUAAUACAUGCAAGUCGAGCGAACAGAUGAGGAGCUUGCUCCUCUGACGUUAGCGUCUGUCUUGUUCGUAACACGUUUAUAACCUACCUAUCAUACUGUGAUACCUUCGGGAACCCGGAGCUCAUACCGGAUAAUAUAUUUAACCGCAUGGUUCACUAGUUCACGACUGUUUUUCUGUCCCUUAUCUAUUGCUCCGCUCCGCAUUAGCUAGUUGGUAAGGGAACGGCUUACCAAGGCAACGAUGCGUAGCCGACCUGAGAGGGUGAUCGGCCACACUGGAACUGAGACACGGUCCAGAAUACUAAGGGAGGCAGCAGUAGGGAAUCUUCCGAAAUGGGCGAAAGCCUGACGGAGCAACGCCGCGGGAGUGAGGAAGGGAUGAGGAUCGUAAAACUCUGUUAUUAGGGAAGAACAAAUGUGUAAGUAACUAUGCACGGCUUGACGGUACCUAAUCAGAAAGCCACGGCUAACUACGUG